CCUACGGGAGGCAGCAGUGGGGGAUAUUGCACAAUGGGGGAAACCCUGAUGCAGCGACGCCGCGUGAGUGAAGAAGUAUUUCGGUAUGUAAAGCUCUAUCAGCAGGGAAGAAAAUGACAGUACCUGACCAAGAAGCCCCGGCUAACUACGUGCCAGCAGCCGCGGUAAUACGUAGGGGGCAAGCGUUAUCCGGAUUUACUGGGUGUAAAGGGAGCGUAGACGGUUAUGUAAGUCUGCAGUGAAAGUCUGGGGCCCAACCCCAGGACUGCUUUUGAAACUGGGUGACUGGAGUAUAGGAGGGGCAGGCGGAAUGCGUGGGGUAGCGGUGAAAUGCAUAGAUAUCACGAAGAACUCCGACGGCGAAGGCAGCUUGCUAAACUGAAACUGACGUUGAGGCUCGAAAGCGUGGGGAGCAAACAGGAUUAGAUACCCGUGUAGUC
RNAcentral lists this ribosomal RNA (440 nucleotides) under uncultured bacterium. RNAcentral describes it as "partial 16S ribosomal RNA". It matches the Rfam family "Bacterial small subunit ribosomal RNA", at positions 338 to 795 of the family's 1533-position model. The record is from RNAcentral.